RNAcentral lists this ribosomal RNA (241 nucleotides) under Ammonifex thiophilus. RNAcentral's name for it is "partial 23S ribosomal RNA". It matches the Rfam family "Bacterial large subunit ribosomal RNA", at positions 2689 to 2925 of the family's 2925-position model. The record is from RNAcentral. Lineage: Bacteria; Bacillati; Bacillota; Clostridia; Thermoanaerobacterales; Thermoanaerobacteraceae.
GGACCGGGACGGACAGGCCGCUGGUGUACCAGUUGUCCCGCCAGGGGCAUAGCUGGGUAGCCAUGCCUGGAAGGGAUAAGCGCUGAAAGCAUCUAAGCGCGAAGCCCGCCCCAAGAUGAGGUUUCCUGCCGGGGUAAAACCCGGGUAAGACCCCUGGUAGACUACCAGGUAGAUAGGCCGGAGGUGUAAGCCGGGUAACCGGUUGAGCUGACCGGUACUAAUCGGUCGAGGUCUUGACCUG